Molecule: ribosomal RNA, 450 nt
Filed under: uncultured bacterium
Lineage: Bacteria
Description: partial 16S ribosomal RNA
Rfam family: Bacterial small subunit ribosomal RNA
Source: RNAcentral
GUGAGGAAUAUUGGGCAAUGGGCGAAAGCCUGACCCAGCCACGCCGCGUGAGUGAUGAAGGCCUUCGGGUUGUAAAGCUCUGUGGGGAGGGAAGAAAAAGCGGGAGAGUAACUGCUCUCGUGUUGACGGUACCUCCUUAGCAAGCACCGGCUAACUCUGUGCCAGCAGCCGCGGUAAUACAGAGGGUGCAAACGUUGCUCGGAAUUACUGGGCGUAAAGCGCGUGUAGGCUGACAUGCAAGUCGGGUGUGAAAUCCCAGGGCUCAACCUUGGAACUGCACUCGAAACUGCACGGCUUGAGUACUGGAGAGGGAAGCGGAAUUCCGGGUGUAGAGGUGAAAUUCGUAGAUAUCCGGAGGAACACCAGUGGCGAAGGCGGCUUCCUGGACAGUAACUGACGCUGAGACGCGAAAGCGUGGGGAGCAAACAGGAUUAGAAACCCGUGUAGUCC